CACAAACCAGCAGAGCACAGCCUGAAGCCAGGCCACGACUUGGUGAAUAACGUCAGGCUCACACAUCUGGCCUCCGGAAUGCGGAGGGCCCAGAGGACAGGCCUGGGGUUCUGCUGCUCCUUGGGGCAGGCUCUUCCUCUGAAAUCACCAAGGCUGCUUCGCUGAGAAAAGUCUUGGGCUUUCCAGGCUCUCCUGGCCCAACUCAGGUGGUGACGUGUGAAAUGGGCAUUCUUUGCCCACUGACGAAGACCAGGUCUCCAUAGACACAGGAUCAAAAGAAGCAAGGCUCCAGCAUCUGAUGGCUCUGGAGUGGAUCCCUGGCUGGGCGACCCUGGCCAGUACUUUGGAUUCCUCCUCUGUGCACGAGCAUCACAUUCUGCAGGGUCUGGAGGAAGGAUAACCUGCAGAAUGCCUGGCAGCUGCUGGACGUCCAAUCAAUGCUCCUGACCGCCCGCCCAAGUCAGCGAACAAGACCGUUACUCUGCCAGGGCUAGGACCUGGGCGCGUUGGAGGUUUUGCUGCCUGUUAGUGAAAGAAAGCUGUCAAUCAGGAACUGGAAGAUGCCGCUUGCAGGGACCCAGUGAUGGUCUGUCCUGUGAAGAGCCUCCCCAGCUUAUCCUUGAGCAAGGGGGAUACCUAGGAGUGGAAUUGCUGGAUCACAUGGAUUUCCUACAUAUAGAAUCAUGUCAUCUGAGAAUGAAGACAGUGUACUUCUUCCUUUCCAGUCUGGAUGCCUCUUGCCUGUUUCUUGUUCCCGUGAGGCUUGUUCCUGUUUGGGGGUGUCUGCCUGAAUUGUUCUUCCCCCAGCUGUUCCAUGGCUCACUCCCUCACCUCCUUAGGUCUUUACUCAAAUGUCAACUUCUUGCCAAGGCCUUCUUGGAACACCCUACUUAAAUUGAACCCCUCCUCACACCCCACACCCCUAACCCUUUUUCAUGCUUUGUAUUUCUCCACAGCACUGACCAUCUCAGACUUUAUACCUCUCCCCUCUCAAGAUGGUCCUGAGAGUUCCAAGAACAAAUAAUAUGCCUGGAAGGAGGGCCUGAGCUGGUGCUUAGCCAGGGUUGGAUGAAGGAGGGUCCAGAAGGGGUGUUCUCUGGGGCACUCAGACCCCUGCCCCACCCUUCCUGGCUGGGAGGGGAAGGGGCUCCAUGCAAAUGGGAAGACAUUCAGGAGGCACUAGGUGGGGGUCCCCGGGGAGGCUCAUAUACACCCGUGCCUGCCUAAACAGCUCAGCCACACCCAGACAGGGGCCAACCUCGACAAGGGUCUACCUGAAGCUUGUUUGCACUUCAUUUCACCUGAAUAGAAAAUGCUGGCACUCAGGAGAUGGGGAGGACAGAGGUAGGCUCCCAGUGACUGCUCCAGCUGCAGACCCGCUAGAGGUGAUCCUGCCUUUGGAGACUCCACUCUGCCCCUGGCAACCAGGAAAAUACGUUCCCUAUUUGCAUGGGGUUAAGGAACGGGAUCUCUUUACACCCCCUCCCUUAUCUGGAGCUUGUCCCAGAACUAGGACUGGGGUUAGCCGGGGGUGGGGGUGGGGGGGUGAUCCCGGAGCCCAGUCUGAGCAUAGGUGGGUGGAGGCUGCAGUGGAAAGAGCCCCCAGCUGGAUGUCAGACAAUCCUGGGUCCCUGUCCUGCUCUGUGUUUUUGCAGCAGAAUGAACUUAAGGCCUGAGAGUCAAGCCCUGGGUGGGUUUCCACCUCCAUCAAAUAGGCCUGAGGAAGCCCCCUCACCCUGGGUGGGAGGUUUGCUCCCCUACUCUGGGUCUCCAUUUCUUCAUCUGUACACCCAGUGUAAGAAUACAUCCUCCGUACAGCCACUAUGGAGAACAGUAUGGAAGUUCCUUAAAAAACUAAAAAUAGAACUACCAUACGACCCAGCAAUCCCACUACUGGGCAUA
Molecule: long non-coding RNA, 1902 nt
Organism: Balaenoptera ricei (Rice's whale)
Lineage: Eukaryota; Metazoa; Chordata; Mammalia; Artiodactyla; Balaenopteridae
Exons: 4
Source: RefSeq, a predicted model, not a curated record